RNAcentral lists this ribosomal RNA (655 nucleotides) under uncultured bacterium. Its description in RNAcentral is "bacterial SSU rRNA". It matches the Rfam family "Bacterial small subunit ribosomal RNA", at positions 683 to 1346 of the family's 1533-position model. The record is from RNAcentral.
GAAAUCCGUUGAUAUCAAGUGGAACACCAAAAGCGAAGGCAAUAAACUAGGACAGUCCUGACGCUGAAAGACGAAAGCAUGGGGAGAGAAAAGGAUUAGAUACCCUUGUAUUCCAUGCCCUAAACGAUGAACACUAGCUAUUGUAAGUGUCGACCCUUGCAGUGGCGAAGCUAACGCGUUAAGUGUUCCGCCUGGGAAGUACGGCCGCAAGGCUAAAACUCAAAGGAAUAGACGGGGACCUACACAAGCGGUGGAUCACGUGGCUUAAUUCGACAAUAAGCGAGGAACCUUACCAGGGCUUGACAAGGUAGUGAAAGCUAUAAGAAAUUAUAGCCCACCCACAAGGACACUACCCCAGGUGCUGCAUGGUUGUCGUCAGCAGGUGGCUUGAGUUGCUCCCUUAAAUGGGGUAACCUGCGCAACCCUUGCUCUAUGUUUUAUAUGUCAUAGAGGACUGCCCGGGACAACCGGGAGGAAGGUGAGGAUGACGCCAAAUCAGCAUGGCCUUUUGAUGCCCUGGGCUGCACACGUGAUACAAUGGAACUGACAAAGGGUCGCCAAGCCGUAAGGCGGAGCCAAUCCCAUCAAACAGUUCCCCAAUUCGGAUUGAGGUCUGAAACCCGACCUCAUGAAGCCGGAAUCGCUAUUAACCGCA